Molecule: unclassified non-coding RNA, 253 nt
Filed under: uncultured Alphaproteobacteria bacterium
Lineage: Bacteria; Pseudomonadati; Pseudomonadota; Alphaproteobacteria
Description: contains 16S-23S intergenic spacer region
Rfam family: Bacterial small subunit ribosomal RNA
Source: RNAcentral
UACGAAGGGGGCUAGCGUUGCUCGGAAUUACUGGGCGUAAAGCGCACGCAGGCGGAUCGAUAAGUCAGGGGUGAAAUCCCGGGGCUCAACCUCGGAAUUGCCUUUGAUACUGUCGAUCUCGAGUCCGGGAGAGGUGAGUGGAAUUCCUAGUGUAGAGGUGAAAUUCGUAGAUAUUAGGAAGAACACCAGUGGCGAAGGCGGCUCACUGGCCCGGUACUGACGCUCAGGUGCGAAAGCGUGGGGAGCAAACAGG